Molecule: ribosomal RNA, 474 nt
Filed under: Triticum aestivum (bread wheat)
Lineage: Eukaryota; Viridiplantae; Streptophyta; Magnoliopsida; Poales; Poaceae
Description: partial small subunit ribosomal RNA
Source: RNAcentral
AUGAGUUCCUUGACUGCAAAGAGAAUGAGAAUGAAUGACUAUGGAAUCAGCAUCAGCCCUUCGAAGUCUGAACUUGAAAAGUAUCUUACAGAGGAUAAUGAAGCAAACAGCAGCAAAUUCAACAUUCUUGAGUGGUGGAAGGUCAACUCAUCUAGAUUCCCUGUGCUAUCACGUUUAGCUUGUGAUGUCCUAGCUUUCCCGAUAUCUACAGUAGCAUCAGAGUCAGCUUUUAGCACCGGUGGACGCAUUCUUGAUGAGUUCCGAAGCUCGCUCACUCCAUUCAUGGUGCAGGCACUAAUUUGUACUCAGGAUUGGUUGCGAAGAGAAAUUCAUGUUAACAAUGAAGAGAAUGAAGAGCUACUUGCCAACCUAGAGGAAGCGGUACUUCAAGAAUUGUCUGAUCUGAGUGUUGCUAAUGCUAAGUCCGGUACAAGUGCUGGUGUCCACAUCACCAUUGAUGACACCAAAUCAUAA